Molecule: ribosomal RNA, 253 nt
Filed under: uncultured bacterium
Lineage: Bacteria
Description: partial 16S ribosomal RNA
Rfam family: Bacterial small subunit ribosomal RNA
Source: RNAcentral
UACGAAGGGAGCUAGCGUUGUUCGGAAUUACUGGGCGUAAAGGGCGUGUAGGCGGUAUUAUAAGUCAGAUGUGAAAGCCCUGGGCUUAACCUAGGAACUGCAUUUGAUACUGUAAAACUAGAGAUCGAGAGAGGAAAGUGGAAUUACGAGUGUAGAGGUGAAAUUCGUAGAUAUUCGUAAGAACACCAGUGGCGAAGGCGACUUUCUGGCUCGAUACUGACGCUAAGGCGCGAAAGCGUGGGGAGCAAACAGG